This 254-nucleotide ribosomal RNA is filed under the name uncultured bacterium. RNAcentral describes it as "partial 16S ribosomal RNA". It matches the Rfam family "Bacterial small subunit ribosomal RNA", at positions 524 to 777 of the family's 1533-position model. The record is from RNAcentral.
UACAGAGGUCUCAAGCGUUGUUCGGAUUCAUUGGGCGUAAAGGGUGCGUAGGUGGCGGGGCAAGUUUGGUGUGAAAUCCCGGGGCUCAACCCCGGAACUGCACUGAAUACUGCUUUGCUUGAGCACUGGAGAGGGAACUGGAAUUUACGGUGUAGCAGUGAAAUGCGUAGAUAUCGUAAGGAAGACCAGUGGCGAAGGCGAGUUCCUGGACAGUUGCUGACACUGAGGCACGAAGGCUAGGGGAGCAAACGGGG